Molecule: long non-coding RNA, 259 nt
Organism: Nicotiana attenuata
Lineage: Eukaryota; Viridiplantae; Streptophyta; Magnoliopsida; Solanales; Solanaceae
Exons: 2
Source: RefSeq, a predicted model, not a curated record
GCGGAGAAGAAUAUUCCGUUUAGCAUGCCGAAGGAUUGUCUUCAGAUGAAUCCUCAUGUCGAUGAACUUCUAUUCAACUUUUAGCUGGGAUUGGUUGGAGGAGUUACUUGAUUUAUUUUUAGUAGUAUCCCAACAGUGUGGGACCAAAAUUCACCCUAACAAAGCAUGACAAUGGACUCAAUUGCUUUACAUUAUUGUGGCAGAAAGCUCUGUUUGCUUCCAAACUUGUUGCUGUAAGAUAGAAGAAUUUUUUAGUUAA